AAACGAACGAAGCAAGCGGCGCGGCAGAGAGACUACAUUCUUGAGCAGGGCUGAGUAUUACAGAAACAUCAUAGUUAAAGACUUAAGUUAAGAUUGGAAUGCCUUAUAGCUGCAUAGCAGGCGCGUGCCGUAUGGGCAGGUGGGGCGGCGAACUCCCUGCAAAAGCAUUCUCCCAAAAAAAUAGUUCCUCAGUAAAUCAUUGCUCCAA
Long non-coding RNA from Gadus macrocephalus (Pacific cod), 208 nucleotides. RefSeq lists it as uncharacterized. The record is from RefSeq and is a predicted model, not a curated record. The transcript has 2 exons. NCBI's taxonomy places the organism in Eukaryota, Metazoa, Chordata, Actinopteri, Gadiformes, Gadidae.